CUACGGAGGGUGCAAGCGUUACUCGGAAUCACUGGGCGUAAAGCGCGCGCAGGCGGUCUUUUAAGUUGGAUGUGAAAGCCUACGGCUCAACCGUAUAACUGCAUCCAAAACUAUUAGACUAGAGUGUGGGAGAGGAAGAUGGAAUUAGUUGUGUAGGGGUAAAAUCCGUAGAGAUAACUAGGAAUACCAAAAGCGAAGGCAAUCUUCUGGAACACUACUGACGCUGAGGCGCGAAAGCGUGGGGAGCAAACAGGAUUAGAAACCCUAGUAGUCC
RNAcentral lists this ribosomal RNA (274 nucleotides) under uncultured bacterium. Its description in RNAcentral is "partial 16S ribosomal RNA". It matches the Rfam family "Bacterial small subunit ribosomal RNA", at positions 523 to 796 of the family's 1533-position model. The record is from RNAcentral.